UGUAUAUGCAUGUUUGUAUCCAUCUCUAUAAGCAAGUUGCAAAAUGUUCACCAUUUAAAAUUAAGAUCACGUUUAAGAAGUAUUCAUAAAUAAUUUCGAUUAUAAAUAGAUAUAAAUAAGUGGUAGACAAGUGGAUGCUACUUCUAAGUUUUUAAAAAUGUGUAUAAAAAAGUGAGUUGAUUGUUCACAAACAUGAGCCAACAUAGGCUAAGUAAUUAAUACAAUUCAAUUUACACCAAACACGACACAAGUCAUUGAAUUACACAAUUGUACAGCAUAGUAAUACAACGAUAUGAUGCUCUAAAUUAAGCCCUCACCAAAUGGAAACCGAAAUUAACCAAGACGUGAAAGAUGAUCCUUGCUCGAUCCCUUCAUCUAGCAUGUCAACAAAUCAAGAAAUCAUUGUCCGAGAAUAGCUACAGAAGGGAAAUACAAAUAUGGUUUUUUGAAUAUACAUAGCUCUUGUUUGUCACCCAUUAUUUUUUCUACAACACUCAUUUUCAAUCACACAUUUUUCAGUAAAAUAAUAUUACAGGCAAAUUUAAAAAAUUUCCUUCUUUUUUAUCCACACAUUCUCCAUCAUUUUUUUAUCCACACAUUCUCCAUCAUUCUACUAUUCCAUAAUACAUUUUUCAAAAUCAAAGGGGCUCAAACACACCCUUAGUUUUUUUAGGCUCGAACAAUUUCUGAGGGAUAAUAUCUUCAAAAGAAAGAGGCGAUGCAACGUUUCCUUGUACAAAGAAAGGAAAGAAAAAGAAAACACAUGCAACCAAGCAUUUCGAAAAGUUAGUAGUUCUGUCUAGAAAUAGACAAAACCAGAUGCAGAUGAUGAAUGCAAACUUCCAUAAUUAAAUGUGUUCACGAGCUGAAUUAAAUCCAAGGAGGAAAAAGAAAAAACCACAACAGAAUGGAAAAUAAUAAUAAUAAUAAAAGAAAACAAGGACAAGAGGGAGAGAUAACAACACACAUAUACAGUUAUUAUUCAAUUAUGAACUCUUGUUCAAACCUGCGGUUUCAUCCCAAAGGUUAACGAUUAGAUGGAGUAGCCCAAUUCCCUUAUAAAAAUAUCCAUCCUAUGUCUAGCCGACGUGGGAUUUUGGCCCCACUUUCACAAAAAUCCCUCCUCAAGUAAAGUAUCACAUCAUAUCUACCAUCCUCAAGCAAUAAUCUAUCUGUCCCUCUUCUUAAUACCAAGAAGGAUCAUGUAUUCCAUCAAAUUCCAAUUCUCCACUGCAUUAGCGGCCACUGCCUUAUGUUAGCAUUACCAUCUUGAGAGCUAACCACUGAUUUUCGCCAUCAUGAUCCAACUUGGGGCAGGCCUAUCAUCUGUUGAGAAUUUAAUAGGGCUGCACAAAAAAAACCACGAAACAGCAAAUCGAACCAAAAUCGUUGAGUUGAAACCGUUGGCUAGGGUCCAGUUUUCUUUUCCAUCAAAUCGAAUCAAACCGUUUCAAAAUAGUUUGGUUUAGAUUUCGAUUUUCAAAAACCACAAAAAAUCGAACCAAACCGUUUUUUAAUUUUAUAAUUAAAAAAUUAAUUUUAUUAACUUAAAAAUUUUACAAUUUCACUUUUAAAAAAAUAAAAAUAAAAAAUCAAUUUAGCAAUACAAAUUACAACCAGCAUGUUGAAAUAAUUAUAGAAAGUAAAUUAAGUUCAUCAUUAUUGGCCUAUGAUCUAAUAGGUUCACAACACAUGUCCUCACCCGAUAUAUCUAUGAUUUAAUAGGUUCACAACACAUGUCUUCACCCGAUAUUUAAACUAAAUUAAAACUAUUCCAAAAUCAUAUGAAUGAAAAAAAAAACAUAUAUUUUCAACAAUCUAAAUCAUAAUUCAACAAAACUACAUCAACGAAUCACGUCCAAAGUUUCAGAAACCCUAACAUAAACUCUCAUUUCUCUAACAUUUGACGAUUGUUUGCCACUACUAAACGAAUCGUCAGUCACAUUUGUCUGUUAGUCUACUAAUUUCUACCUGAAUCGUCUCUCUCUCUUCUCUUUCAGUGAGUCUCAGAUUCUUAUUCAAGCCAUUUUUCCAUUGCUCUUCUUUUGUUUUUUUUUUUUUUUUAAACUUAUUAUACACCCGUGAGUUGUGGUUUGGAUAGAAAAAUGAAUGUUUGUGUGCCUAGAUGAUUAAUGAACUUUUUUGUGAUUUAGAAAGAACGAAGGACGGUGCGUAUUGAUUAUGUGGAAAUGUUAAAGUUCCCUAACUAGUACUACUACCUUCUAUUUUCAUAAAGUAGUUAGAGGAUGAAAUUCGUCAAUUCUCAAUAAGUCGAAACUCUAUCAAUCUUUAUACAUCUAAACAUAUCUCGUUCAAUCCUUAUUUAACAUCUCACUAGCAAGACGAAAAGAGUUUUAACCAAACUAUAACAGCAGAAUGUAACUCGACCUUUACUAACCGCCAUAUAAAAAUAUGAAUGUCAAACAAGAAAAUGUAAAUAAAAAUGAAGAAAGAUGUAUCUGUUCUAUUAACAUAUUUUAGCAACCAACUUUGAAAACAAUUUAUUCAUAAGUUUCAUGGUAAAUAUGAAUGUCGUAUAACAUUUAACAUUAUAAAUUUUCGUUUAAACUUAUAUUUAACUUAUGUUAAAUAUAUUACUAUAAUGUCGAUAGGUAAACCACGAAUUAAAAUCGAACCAAAUCGCAAAUUAUGGUUUGAUUUGGUUAGGUAAAUAAAAUGGUUUGAUUUGGUUUGAAAAAUUUUCAAACUGCAUAAAAUGGUUUGAGUUCAAAAUAUAGUGCAAAUCGCCCAAACCAAACCGCGUUCACCUCUAGAAUUUACCUUGUCUAUCCACGUGCUAAGUUUGGAGACUAGCCCUCAUUUAAGAGACAUGAAUACUUGUAAACUCAUUACGUACCCGUAUCCGAUACAUAUUUAAACUUGGAUACCCUCUAAUACGCUUUGAUAAAUGUUUUUUUAAUUAUAUAAUAUUUAUUAUAUUUUUUAAAUUCCAACCAAAAUGUUAACAUACUAUGCUGAUUAGUCUAAUUCCCUAAUAACCAUAUUAUCUACCCAUGUCUGGUCAAUGUAAGAUUUUGUUCGUACCUCCCCAGCGGCGCACACAAUGUUUAUGCAUGAAGUAGAAGGUAAUAUAAGAACACUUCGUUUAACUAAUUCAAGGGAUAUAACUAUAAAUGACUUGCUUAGAAGCGGUUCCACAUUACAAAUGUGAAGAGAUUACCCUAAAGAGCUAUAUCUUCUUCAAUACUUUAGCUUGAAAAUAUUUUUGAUCGAUUCCUCAAUGCGAAAAGGUAAAAUCCCACAUCCCCUAGAUAAGAAACCAACAAUCAACAUAUAAGGGCUUAAGAUACUCCUUUUGACAAGAUUGAUAUUUUAAGAUGGAAAUCAAGACUUAAUAUAGUAUCAUAGUCCAAAAAACUCAAAUGAGCAAUUUGAUCCAAAGCUCAAGGAACAGUAGGAUUCCAGGAUUGGUGAACCCGAACAAGCCAGCAUCUUGUUGGGCAAAGAUAUCUAAUGGUAAUUUAUUUUUCUACAGCACUUUAAUGAAACCCAAAAUACAAUAGGUACAACACAAAAAUUAUGGUGGAUAGACUAAUAGUUGCUGUGAUACAGUGGUUUAAUAAAAAGAUUCAAAACAGUGUGCACUGUCAUGCAAAACUGUUAUGAAUAAAAUACAGCUUCUCACUAUCUCAUCCAAGUAAGGUAAAAACUUAUUAAUCAAGUGAUAAGUGAUUUACCACCCUUCUCCAUUUUAAUAGCUAACUUUAAAACGAAAUAAGAUUCUGCCAGUUAAAAUCUAAACAGAACUAUUAAUAAAGCCUGAACAAGACUAUCAAAUAGGACCUCUGAGUACACUUGAUUUUUGCAGGGCACAUUCUUUUUUCAAGACAGCCAAGUUCAAUCGAAAUAACAUCAAUUGACAGAUUUUGGCUACAACACAACCCAGUUUCACGUCCACCGGAAGAGCAAAUUUAUCACAAGAUGGGACAGGUACAGUAACAAGAGACAAAUAAAGAUAUACGUGUUAUUGAGGCUGUAUCGAUCACACAGGAUGUGAUAAAGGAAAUACUAUUAAAAAGGUGUGGCUGUUCCCUUUUACAUGAGUCGCAUUGGUUAAGCAGAAAAAAGGAAAGCAUAAGCAGAAAAUCUAGCAUGUGGUUCGCAUAGGUUAAGCACAAGAAACUAACAAGACCCAGACUUGGUAGAAAAAUUCUAAAAAAUGCCUCCUGUAUACGUGAGUAUAUGGAGCAGAAAACCCAAAGAAAUGACAAAUGAUUACUAAUAAUCAUCGACAAGAUUAUAUUUUAAAUUAAAAAUUACAAAAAGAGUGGAGAACUAAAGAAGUAACAAGAAUGUAAUCAUACUUGAUCCUCUAGAAAGAAUUAGAUGAUUAUGGCUAAUGGAAACCAUCAGAGCUAGAAUAUAUGAUCUAUAUUUUGAAUAUACAAUGGAUCAGGUGGUGCUUUCCUAAGAUAGGGGGUGUUGUCCAUGUUAUCACAGUACUCUUCUUAAUCGAACAUACACGAGACAAGUGUAAAGAAUCCAAAAUCCAGGGUUUUAAGAUUCCUCUACAGAUAUAUUUCUACUUGUCAUCCCAAAAGCACAAAUCCAUAUUUCAAUAAAACCCGAAUACAGGACCAUAGUUCCUUUCAUUUGCAGCAUCUCUUAACUCACUGGUCCCAUAUUGAUACCAUCCCACAUUAUUUUCUUCUCAAGAUAACGUGAAACCAACUUUUUCGCCUCAAAUCAAGUACAGCACAAAAAAGGUGUGGAGAAAGAGUCAGUUACUGACGAGCUAUAGGUAUAGGAUUGAAGUUUGGAUGUUUUCUAGAGUAACAUCUCAGAAUUACAACUAUGUUUGAGGCCAAAUCCAAAGAUAUUCAUAGCAGCCAAUGACAACCAAAAGCUAAAAUGUAAACAAGUAAUUUGACAUGUCACAUGUAAUUGGACAAAGAGGGUUCGAACAUUACAAAGGAUGUCCAUGUAAAGAGAAAGAACAAGAUAGCCAAGUUUACGGCUCAAAGAAUAAGUUAUAUGUGAUAUCAGAGGGAAUCAUGUCUGAUUGACCAUAAACAUCUCGAACAAGUAGGGAUGGCAAAUUGGAUGAGCAAAGCGGCUAGGCACCUUUUCAUCAUUGGCUGCACCUUUUCAUUAUUGGCUGAGAGGCAAGCCCACAUACAAAAGUUUGGCCAAACCAAUACCAUCAAACAUCCAAUAAGACUCCUUUUAUUAAGUAAAUAAAAAGAUAACACAGAAUCAGAAAUGACAAAAUCCCCAGAGAUACAGAACCAGAGGAAGUGCAGUAGAUGUAAUGGCCUCAAAUAACUGCUGCACCGCUACCAGAGAAAGUUCUCCAACAUCAAGGAGACCGAGAGCACCCCUAACUCUCUCAUCCCUGUAAAUAGUCAUGUCUCAUGCAUGCAAGAUAAAAUAAUAAUCUAGAGAACUUGCCUCAGUAUUCUAUUGACUUGAUUCUCGAAGUGUAGCAGGAGAGACACCACAUUGGCACCCAACGUAAUCAUUAAAAACUGUCAGUGUAUCAGAUAAGCAAAAGGCAGAUAAACACGUCAAUUAGCAAUUAGAGAGAGGAGAUGCCCUAACCAGUGCAGCGCGACAUACAAGUCCAAUAAGGAGCCUACCAACGAGUCACACAACCAAUGGAGACAAAAAAAUCAGAAGGGCGUGUUACCCAAUACAGUAACCGAAAUAAAAGUAAAUUGAAAAGACAAAUCACUGUCCCCAAAGACGUUAAGCAAACUACAGAACUCUACAAAUACAAGGUGGUCAUAAACUCCAGGAAAGCAAUCUAAGAGAACAAUAAGGAGCAAAAUCCAAUACUUUACUUGUGAAAUCAUUGAAUUUAAUCUUCAUAGUAAAAUGUAAAUUCAUGAGCUAUCCCUCCAGCUUCCACCUAGCCAACAUUUUGCUCAUCGUAUUAUGAGCAAAAAUUAUCAGGUGAAGAUUUGUAUAAUUCAUACGAGGAAAGAGAAAUUAAAAGAAAGAUUUGCAGUUUUCUAUAAAACUUGUGACUUGCACAAAGAAUAAAAAGAAUUGGAGCUUAGAGAAUACAAAAUAAGACAAAAUUGAGAAUGCAAAACUUGGAAGAAUAAAAUAGUGUGUAAAAUCAAUUUGAGGGUACAAUGUUAAAUGAUUUCUGGGUGUUUUAUUCUCAAAUCAAUUAUUUGAAUCUAACGUUUAAACAAUAGGGGACCAAGGAGUAUUGCCACGGGAGGCUUAAGCCUUAAAACAAACCAAUAAAAUAAUUAAAAGAAAAAAAAAUAGACUUAUAAUAAACCAUAACUCUCCUUGAAAAUUCAUAGUAAAACAAAUUAUCAAAAUAUAAAGUCUAACUUGCAAUCUUAAAAAAUAAAAACAACAAUAGAGUUAUAAUUAGGAAAUAAUAGAUUCUCAAAUUAGGAAUCAAGUAAAAAGUUGUAAUAUAUUAUUAAAGAGGAAACAUCCUGAAUUCUCGAUAUCAAUUACUACUAACAUGAUCUUUGAGAGAAUCAUCAACAUAUUUGUUGCAACUAAAGUCAUGAUCCGCACAUUUGAGGCUUGACUAGACUACCCAAGGAUGGAGAGAAGGCACGGCAUCGCUAGGAGGUGUUGAAGGGUCACAACUAUCUUAUUUUUUCCAUACUUUGGCUAUUUGAUUAUCACGGGCGUAAAUGUCUUUAUUUCGUUUUUAUGUUUUCUUUAAAACUCAAGUACUAUGACUCAUGGUAUUCAUAAAGAAUCAACAAACGUAGUUAAUCUCAAGUUUGUGCACUUCGUAAGUUUCCGCUAAAUUAUUUACUAUUAGAGCAGAGUUUGAGAUCCUUAUCGAGAUGCCACACCAACAAGGCUACUAAAAUCUCACAAUUCUACCAUGGAUGAAGGGUUCAAAGAAGAUAACACAAGUGCAAUAACAAAUUAAUUGUUCAUGCAACGAAUUGACACGGUCUGCCGUCGACAACAAAGGUGUUGAUGCAUUUAAGUCUGGUGCAAGAGGUGGGAACAAGGCACAUUGCAGCUAGAGGAGCAACAUCCCAGCAAGAUAAGGUUGUUGCUAAAUAUACAAUAGCCUGAUAAUAGGCAAAAAGGGAGUUUGCUACAGUCCGACCGGGUGAACUUCACCUGUCAAUGGUUCCAAUUAUUUUGCUCCCCUAGUUCCUAGGUAGCCAAAACAAUUUCAAAAGGGACAACUCAUGACAAUUGUAAAUGGGUUCUAAAGUGAAAAUUAUAGAGUUUAAUGGCAGAUGAGAUUCUUUAUUGAGUUUCCAAUGGCGAUUGUAGCAUGGCAGCAAGCCAACCACGACUUCUCAAGUGACAAGACAAAUGGCUAAUAGGAUCAUUAUUAUAGUUGUAGAAAGUGGAGUCAUCGUUAGUUUAAGCGUUGGCUUAGAGAGCUUAAAAGGGAUUAUUUUUAGGUGAUGCCAAUAAUACCUUGAUUAUUUGUACAUAUGCAUAAGAAAUGAUAUUGUCGAAACUUAUUUCAAUAAUAAGUGCAUCAUUCUAGUCCAGUAGAGCGAAAGAGGGCACAACUCACAUACUUAGUGUAGUCAGCCAUUUAAGCCCAAAAAUUAAGAAAAGAAAUGUUUUAUGGUUGCGUAAAGAGAUAAAAAUAGUAUAAGGGAGUGUUUGAGCCACAUUAUUUUGGUAAUAAUGCAUUCUUGAAUAGUGUAUUGAUGGGAAAUGUGUGGUUAAAAAAUAAGGAAAAGUUUUUUAUUUGCGUGUAAUAUUAUUUUAUUAAAAAAUGUGUGAUUGAAAUGAUAUGAAAUCACAGUUUAAGAAUACAUUUUUUUAGAAUAAUAUGGCUCAAACAUGCCCUAAAUAUAUAUUUUUAAGAUAAUAGAAUAAAAAUACUAAUUCAAGUACAGCUCUUAAUCCUAUGCCAACUAGGAAAACUCUUAAAAACCUACAUAUAUUAGAAUUCCUUCAUUCUCUUUCCCAACCCAAAAAGAACUCCUUUUCCGCUCAACUUACACUCCAACCGGACUAAACUUGACAACCUAUUUUGGAUUUCUACUUGUGGGCUAUUUAUUUUAUAUUUUAUUAGUUUAAGUAGGCUGGCCCAAGCCUUUUUAUUUUGCUUUGGGCUUAUAUUAUGUAACUGGGCUGGCCCAAGCCCUUUUUAUGUUUUGUGUCUUAGAUAUAUAUAUAUAGCCCUUUGUGCAAGAAUAGACAGAGAUAUGAUAGAAUGAAUUGACGUUGAGUGUUGCAGACAUCUCCUUCCUUUCCACCGCCCACUUCUUCCCUUCUCUCCUUCUUCUUCCUCUUUCCUUUUCUGGUUUCUUCUUCUCCCUAUGUGACUGCUUCUGCUGUGUUUGUGUUUAUGUAAUGCUACAUCAAAACCACUCUCUCUCUCUCUCUCUACCCUACACGACACACAUCCGCACACAAUACACCCACAAGCUCAGCCCCUCUUUCUCACGACCCUCCCUCUCUUUUCACUCCUAAACACAUACAAACACUUAAUCAUUCACAAAACAAUAACACACACUUCUAUAUACAUAUACAAGCCCCAAAUCCUCUAAACCAUUCACAAAGCAAGCGCACAAGAACACACACAAGAUUCCUCUUCCUCUUGGAUCUAUCUCACACAUGCCUCCCCCUAUCAUUUUUCCAUUAAUUUAGAGCAGCAAGAAUGCACAGAGUACAAGGUCUUCGGGGCUGUUAAAAGAAGCACAAGACCUGAUUUUAUUCUUCAAAAUAACAAUUUUAAAGACUAAGGUGAGAUACUUAUUUACAAGUAGAUGUCCUUUUCAUUCAUGGUAAUUUAUAAUCAUUCAUUGAUACUAAUGGUCCUUUGGGACAACCUAUUUAAACUCUAGGAUAACCAUCAGACGAUUCUUCAGGACAAGGAGAAUUUAUGUUAACCUCCAGGUUGUAAGAUUUGCAGCGUUUGUAAAGAGUUGUUAUUCAUGGUUUUGCUUCUCUAAGGAAAAUAAUGUAUCCGAUCUAUAAUUUUUAUCUUAUAAGUGGUGUGCAUGUAUCUAAUUGUGUAUUUUUCAAAACUCAUCCUUCUCAUUAACAAAUUUCAGGUUUAAACAUCUUGGAUGGCCGGGAAAUGGAGUGGCGGUACCAAUGGACCAAUGAUCAAAGAUUAAAAUUCGAGUAGAACCUGGUUUCAAUUCCUCGUUUGCAUGUUUAAUUAGUUGCUGGAUUUUUAUUAUUUAAUUAUGAUAUUUGACGGAUUAAGGACCUUGGUUUAUGUUAUGUAUUUAAUUAUGUAUUUUAUAGAAGUUUGUAACCUUGUAUUUUGUUGAUACUGUGCUUGCGAAGUUUAGACUUUGUUUUAAAAUGUAAAUGUUGCACACUGUCCAGUUCUCCAGAUUCGUGAUUUCUACUUCAACCAGUUACCCCGAAGUGCAUAAAUGAGUUUCUAGAUGAAAUCAGUUGGGUUUGAAAACCUAGCAAGUUUUUUGUCCAUGAAAACUUGGAAUCAUGACGAUCAGCCAAUUGUAGAAUUAGUUGUGCUCAUUUUCAUGAACUGCGACAAUGUUACCCAGAAAUUGUUUACACAUUACUUCAUCGAUCAAUUUGACUAACUAAACAGAUGAGAUAAAUCUUGAAAUUUGGAUAUGUUGUGUGUGAAUGAGUUGUGUGAUACUGUAUAAGUUUUCAUAAUGUUUCAUGGUUGUUUGAUUGUUAGUUUGACGCCCAUUUUUCGAGUAGUGUUCUGUAAAAUUACAUUAUGAAUUUACGUUCGUUUAUUUGCGUGUUAUAAUUUGAAGUGAUUGUCUAAAGUUCCAUGAUCAUAUAGGACGUCACAAAUUGUAUAGUCGAUGGAUCGGGUAUAGUAAGACACAAUUUGUGAUGUGAUCAAAAUUAUGUCGUUCAUAAAGUUGGACGCUUUAUGUUGAUAAGAUUGUAUUGUUCUUAUUAAGAUUUGUCUAGAUCUUGAAAUAGGAAUAAUAAUGUGUUUCGAUGUACAUUGAACGGGACCGCGUAGAUGACUCAUUUGUAACCGUUUGAAAUGAGACUCUACUUGAUUAUCAAACAGGUCACCUAAAUCCUAAGUGAGUAAUGUACCUUUGAUUGCUAGUUCAAGUUCUUUGAGGUACCAAUGAGUGAAGUCUUAAAUAGAAGAUUGAUCUCGGUACUUUGGGAAUCGGGCCGAAACAAUUAGAGAUUAUAUCCUUACAAUAUUGGAAUCCAUUAAUUAUUGAGAUGAGACGAUCGUCACUCUAAGGUAUUUUCCUAGGCAAAUUGAAUUUGAACUUAGUAGGUCGACGAUGAAAUCGUUGGACUUUGCAUUGUGAUUUGAUUACAACAAAUUUGCCGUAUGAAAAUGAGACUUAGAGGGUAAUACAUGUUGAAGGGCAGAACGGUCAUUUUGCCAGUUUCAACAUAUUAACGGUCAAAUGGGGAUUGACUUGUGGAACAAUAAUCAGAGAUAUUGUUAUUGAUCAUAAUUUGCUUCUAUAACUAUCACUCGAUUUGAGAGUGCAAUCUCGAUUUUUCGGUAGAAUAAGUCGGGAUUAAUAGAUAUAUUUCAAUUAGUCAAGAGUUGACCCAAUUGAAAACAUCUAUUGGAGCUUGGGUCAUAUCAGUCCAAUUAGGUCUCUCUCUAAGCUCCAAUAAAAGGGGUGUGACUUAAUUGACCUACUGCAAUAAAGUCCAAGGAAAUUUGUGCAAUUUCCAAACCCUAAUAAGGCGUUAUAAAUAUGCAUAUUUUGAAUGAGAAUUAGAGUUAACCGCUUUUCACUUUCCCCAAAAAGGAAUUACACCUGGUGGAGAACAAAGGAGAAAAUCUAAAGAAGGAAGCAAUUGGCUAGGCUAUUAAUAGCUCUUUCAAAAGGUUAUCUUCUCCCCUUUCUAUGUGUAAGGAUUUUAUAAUCCAAUGAUCUCAAGAUCACUAAAAUCCUUAAACAUGAUUUUAAUCUUCAAAGGAAAAUUAAUUUUCUAUUGUGAUGAUUAAAAUUCAUUAACCAACAUUGAUAUGUCAGAUAAUUUAUGGUGACAAUUUGCGCAAACUGAAAAUUAGAAUCAUAACUCAAGAAGUUUAAGACUUCAGUAAUAGCAAAAGAUUAUACUUAUUUAUAAUUAAAUCACAACAAUUACCUCCUGCUACUAUCAAAAUUAACAGAUAAAUUUAAAACAGCAUAGUGAUUAUAUACUACACCGUGAUCUUCCCUUUGAUGCCUUCUCGAAACCUAAAAUGGCAUAAAUCCGCAAAUUAAUCGAGAACGCACAAAUUUAUUUUUAAAAAAAAAUGUUGCAAGCAACACACUCACAAUCACAUUCAUAUCGGCCUCUACGUCAAUUUCCGCAAGUUGCAAAAGAAUUUAAUAAAUUAUAAUGGUAUUUUAAAUUUGAAAAAUUGGAGGGUUCAGUUUGGUCUCACCGUGUCUGUGCUUGGUAAUGGCUGUAUUAUAGGUUGGAUGGAUCACUUUUCAGGGGCCGAUCUUUUUCUUCUUAUUCCUCUGCUGCAACUUUUGAACGAGCGAAAUUCAUUUUCAGAGGGGAUUUUUUCGUGAGAAAUAACUUCUCGUUCCUAAUUU
Molecule: long non-coding RNA, 11447 nt
Filed under: Olea europaea subsp. europaea
Lineage: Eukaryota; Viridiplantae; Streptophyta; Magnoliopsida; Lamiales; Oleaceae
Source: RNAcentral